CGCAUGUAUGCUUUGUGAAACUUGUGUGUGUGAGAGAGCGAGACAGAACAGUGGUGUCUCGCUGUGUGAGACUAUGAUGUCAUAGUCUCAUCCCCUAUGCAUGGCUCUGGCUGUAUCAUGCUAAUCCAGACCGAGGCAGAUAGAGAUGACUAAGGAGAGAAGGGAGGAGAGAAAAUAACAGGAGGAGAGAGGAUAGAAGAGCACACGGAUCAUCCUUUGCAGAAAGGAGCAGUGAAACAACAUACAAGGCUCGUCUCUGUUCGACAACCUGAGCUAAAACAGACCUGAGGACCUCACACCGAGGACAGCAUGACCAAAGACUGACCAGGACCACGCUUUUGGAUUGAAAACACUAGUUGGAGCCAGAGUAAACCAUACUGCAGAUUAACCCUGGAUUAAGGAGAGAGGGGGACAAAUAUCUAACACUUGUUCCCUACUGGCACUUUACAGAACAGACUAAUAUCUGAUGUAAAUAUUGACAUUGUGUUGGAUGCCUGUCCUCGUCUGAAUUGCACUAAGAGAAAGAGAAGGUUAUGGGAGCUCAUCCAUAACCCUUUGACUCCUCAACUGGCGGUGACCUCAGAGAUGCCCUAGGGGCUGGGUUCGAUGUGAGGCAGCUGUCUGCUGCGGUCGACGUACAACCCACGUCUGACUUCUCUUUUUUUACUCCCUCUGUUUUCUUCUCUUGUUGUAGCUACACACCUCUUUUCCGCUCGGCCUGGGGCUUCAAAUAGUCCUCCUGUAAAUCCAUUCCGAGGGAAGACGCUGGAGGUCUGAGUCAGACUGCGCCCCUGAGAGAGAGUUGUGUGUGUCAGUGAGUCUGUCAUGUCUGUUUCACUUACUUACCUGUCACAUCUGUCCACCCGUCUGUCUGUCCGUGUGAAUAAGUGUGAGUGAUAGCGUAACGGUUUGCGGUGUCUGUUUCGCUGUCUGUCUGUGGGAAUCAGUGACUUCAUGUGACAAAACGCGUGUGUGCGUUUCUAUCAGCAUUCAACGAUACGAGCCAAUUCAACUCUGUGUGUAUUGCUCUCCAUAAACCCACAAUGGGCUGUGCCAUGUGCUCACAGUUGAUUGAUGUGUGGAGUCUGUCGGUGAGGAGAACCAGCCGAAGGGCCAUGGAACUGACUGCCCUUCCCGAGGCUCUCCAGGGGGGCUACCACAGAGUCACUGGCCUCCACUACAUGUCCUCCUUCUCCGAUGCAGAGGACUGCUGCGAUGACAACAACAGUCACAACAGCACCACCGGCAGCUCCUUCACUAUGGACUGGCAAGAGACAGAUGACUGACACUGGGGUGACAGGUAGCCUAAGCAGUGUUUCCCAACUCCAGUCCUCGGCUACUUGUCAACUAAUCAUCAAAUAAAAUCAGAUUUUAUUAGUCACAUACACAAGAUAUAACAGGUGUAGCCCUUACAGUAAAAUGCUUACUUACGAGCCCCUAACCAACAGUGCAGUUUCAAAAAAUACGGAUAAGAAUAAGAGAUGAAAGCAACAAGUAAUUAAAGAGCAGCAGUAAAAAAUAAAAUAACAAUAUAUACAAGGGCGUGCCGUUACAGAGUCAAUGUUGCGGGGCACCAGUUAGUUGAGAUAGUAUGUACAGUUGAAGUCGGAAGUUUACAUACACUUAGGUUGGAGUCAUUAAUAUUAGUUUUACAACCACUCCACAAAUUUCUUGUUAACAAACUAUAGUUUUGGCAAGUCGGUUAGGACAUCUACUUUGUGCAUGACACAAGUCAUUUUUCCAACAACUGUUUACAGACAGAUUAUUUCACUUAUAAUUCACUGUAUCACAAUUCCAGUGGGUCAGAAGUUGGGAAAUUCCAGAAAAUGAUGUCAUGGCUGUAGAAGCUUCUGAUAGGCCAAUUGAUCAUUUGAGUCAACUGGAGGUGUACUUGUGGAUGUAUUUCAAGGCCUACCUUCAAACUCAGUGCCUCUUUGCUUGACAUCAUGGGAAAAUCAAAAGAAAUCAGAAAAAAAUUGUAGACCAAGUCUGGUUCAUCCUUGGGAGCAAUUUCCAAAUGCCUGAAGGUACCACGUUCAUCUGUACAAACAAUAGUAUUCAAGCAAAAACACCAUGGGACCAUGCAACCCUCAUACCGCUCAGGAAGGAGAUGCGUUCUGUCUCCAAGAAAUGAACGUACUUUUGGUGCGAAAAGUGCAAAUCAAUCCCAGAACAACAGCAAAGGACCUUGUGAAGAUCCUGGAGGAAAUGGGUACAAAGUACCUAUAUUCACAGUAAAACAAGUCCUAUAUCGACAUAACCUGAAAAGUCGCUCAGCGAGGAAGAAGCCACUGCUCAAAACCCGCCAUAAAUAAAGCCAGGCUACCAUUUGCAACAGCACAUGGGGACAAAGAUCGUACUUUUUGGAGAAAUUUCCUCUGGUCUGAUGAAACAAAAAUGGAACUGUUUGGCCAUAAUGACCAUCGUUAUGUUUGGAGGAAAAAAGGGGAGGCUUGCAAGCUGAAGAACACUAUCCCAACCAUGAAGCACGGGGGUGGCAGCAUCAUGUUGUGGUGGUGAUUUGCUGCAGGAUGUACUGGUGCACUUCACAAAAUAGAUGGCAUCGUGAGGGUGGAACAUUUUGUGGAUAUAUCGAAGCAACAUCUCAAGCAAUCAGUCAGGAAGUUAAAGCUUGGUCGCACAUGGAUCUUCCAAAUGGACAAUGACCCCAAGCAUACUGCCAAAGUUAUGGCGAAAUGGCUUAAGGACAACAAAGUCAAGGUAUUGGAGUGGCCAUCACAAUGCCCUGACCUCAAUCUUGUAGAACAUUUGUGGCGUAUGUGAGCAUGGAAACCUACCAACCUGACUAAGUUACACCAGCUCUGUCAGGAGGAAUGGGCCAAAAUUCGCCCAACCUAUUGUGGGAAGAUUGUGGAAGGCUACCCGAAACAUUUGACCCAAGUUAAAUAAUUUAAAGGCAAUGCUACCAAAUACUAAUUGAGUGUAUGUAAACUUCUGACCCACUGGGAAUGUGAUGAAAGAAAGAAAAGCUGAAAUAUAUCAUUCUCUACUAUUAUUCUGACAUUUCACAUUCUUAAAAUAAAGUGGUGAUCCUAACUGACCUAAGACAGGGAUUUUUACUCUGAUUAAAUGUCAGGAAUUGUGAAAAACGGAGUUUAAAUGUAUUUGGCUAAGGUGAAUGUAAACUUCCGACUUCAACUGUACAUGUAGGUAGAGUUAAUUAAAGUGACUAUGCAUAGAUGACAACAGAGAGUGGUGUUGGUGUGGAGAGGGGGGGGGGGCAAUGCGAAUAGUCCGUUUGACAAGAUGUUCAGGAGUCUUAUGGCUUGUAGGUAGAAGCUGGAAAGAAGCCGUUGAAUGAGGUGUUCUUGUCCGGGGCAACAACGAAAAUGUGUACUGUUGGGGGUACUGGAGGUUAAAAGGUUAGAGAGGCGGUCCAGAACCGGAGGGUCGGCAGUUCAAAUACUGAGUUUGACGGGAAAUCUGUUCUGGACUAGAGUGAACUGGCAACCUGAGUCUAAUUUGUACCAAUAUCCUAUAGAUGCCAUAUCCUGCCCUUGUUUAAUGGAUGCAAAAAAUGCACUGAGUACAACCCAGGGGAUACCACGUUAAAAGUAUUCCACUUAUUUUCAACGUGGUCCCCGAUGGAAUUCAGACAAAACAACAUUAAUCCCUAUGCAUAGAAUAAGUAAAUAAAUCAAAUAAAAGAUACAAGAACAUCUAAUAAAAUACAGUCAACUUAUCCUGAUCCCACCAUUUUGUCUUCCUGGACGCUAUACACGUCCUACAUCAAAACAUCUACAUCUUUAGUGUGGCUUGUGAAAGUGCCACUUAUUUAUACAUUUCAUUACUCUUUACAAGGCUACUCCUCUUACACAUUUUUAAGAUAGAAAUGCCAAACUUUAAAACAUGCAAACUGAUCGAGAAAUAUUGUGCUUACAUACACUUUUAGAAACCAUUUAUACUUUUUUUUUUUACGAUUGAACUUUUAUUAAACUUCAUACACUUUAAUGGGAUUUCUUCAACAUUCUAAACCUCCCAUUAUUAAAAGAAUCCCAUUCUGAAGCUGUGACUUCCAACAUUCUAUUCACUGUAAACACUAACUUUUGACGUAAAUCAGCUACUUUCCCAACAACUUAGACAAACACAUAGAGGGUAUGAAAUCUUGAUAUACUUCUCUGCUUCUCAAAUCUGAAAUCAGAACAGAAUUAUCUUCUAUCAAUCAAAAACAGCUGUUUUAGGAACUGCAUCAACUUUUAAAAACAGACAUUUUCACCAUCUUCCUAACAAGUUAGACAAAAACUUGGAGUGUAUGAAAUCUUAGUCUACUUCUCUGCUUUUCAAAUAUAAUAUCAGAACACUUCUCCCACUACCACAAAAAUACUUUUAAAGAACUGAAGCAGGGCAUACAAUUUUCCUUCAUGUAAAAUGACCAUCUACUUAUCAAUAAAACUGUAUUCCAGCUAGGAUGGUCUCGGGGCCAGACCUCUGCUUUCACAUUACUGAUGUAGCAGAGGCAUAAAUUCCUGUCUGGCCACAUUUCCACUCUACAAAGAAAAUCGUGCAGGUUCAAUAUCAGAAAUGUUGACAGACAAUUUGUUCAUUUUACAAGGUGGAACUUUUUGUGUCUGUAAAAUUAAUUAUGUGACAAGUUGUGGUGGAAAUGAUUUCUUGCGCAUUUGUUGAUAGAAUAAUCAUAAUGUCAAGGUACAUUUUUGGAGUCAUGCUAUGUAAAAAAAGAAAAAAAGAAAAAAUGAAACAUAGAUACAACUAAACGAAAUAUAUUGUCACCAAAUAAUUAAUUAAAACAUGGGUUUGCAAUGAAGGUCUGUAGUAGCCUCAACAGCACUCUGUAGGGUAGCACCAUGGUGUAGCUGGAGGACAGCUAUUUUCUGUCCUCCUCUGGAUACAUUGACUUCAAUAUAAAACCUAGGAGGGUCAUGGUUCUUACUCCCUUCAAUAGACUUACACAGUAAUUAUGAAACGUUGGAGGAUGUCCUCCGGAAGUUAUCAGAGCUCUUGCAGCAUGAACUGACAUGUUGUCUACCCAAUCAAAGGAUCAGAGAAUUAAUCUAGUUCUGAAAGCAUAAGAUACAGCUAGCUAGCACUGCAGUUCAUAAAAUGUGGUGAGUAGUUGACUCAAAGAAAGUGAAAGACAAUAGUUCAACAGUUUUGAACAAAUUCGUUUCGAGAGAGCUAUAUUUCGUUAUAUUUUCUUUUAACUUUCACUUAUGAUGUGAAUGCAGCUAGCUAAUUGAGCCUAGAGGGAUGCUAUGUUAGCUAGCUGGCUAUGGCUAUCUAACACUGGAACUCUUCCAACUCAAGCUUUUGAUUUUAUUAAUUUAUUGCCAUUGGGGCCUGCCAGUGUAACUGCUAAACUACAUUGUACUGCAUGAUUGUAGCGGGUUUACUAACUCGUUAGUUCUAGUAGCUAAGAUGAUGUAGGUAGGCUGUGUGUAGCGGUUAUGAUAUGAAGGUUUGGCUUGGAAAGGUUUUUUUGCCUGGUCAAAGACAGCUGAUGUGUUGCUCACUGAAGUCCACAAAGGGAAAAUGUGAGAGAAGGAGAGCACGUAGACGUGAGAAGGAGUUCUACAACGAGAAAUAAUAUCAUGCUGUUUGUAUAUGACUGCUGUGAAAAUGAACUGUGUUUGCGUGUGAUCAGGGGUGUUCAUUUCGCCAAUUAUGUUGAAAAAUGUUUCUUGAACGGAAUCAAAUGGAAUGAAACGGGCAUAAACACACCUGAAUUUGCCUAAUAGAACCUCUCUUUUGCAACUCUUGACUGUGCCUGCAGCAUACCAGCCUGCAUCCUACUGCUGGCUUGCCUCUGAAGUUAAGCAGGGUUGUACCUGGUCAGUCCCUGGAUGGGAGACCAGAUGCUGCUGGAAGUGGUGUUGGAGGGCCAGUAGGAGGCACUCUUUUCUCUGGUCUGAAAUACUGUAACUAUCCCAGGGCAGUGAUUGGGGACAUUGCCCUGUGUAAGGUGCUGUCUUUCAGAUGGGAUGUUAAAUGGGUGUCCUGACUAAAGACCCCUGGGGGGAUAACCUAGGUGUCCUGGCUAAAUUCCCCAUCUGGCCCUCAUACCAUCACGGCCGCCUAAUCAACCCCAACUUCCAAUAGGCUCAUUCAUCUCCCCUGUAACUUUUCACCAGGUUGUUGCUUUAAAUAAGAAUGUGUUCUCAGUCAAUUUACCUGGUAAAAAAAGGGUUCAUUACUUAAUUUUUUUACACCCUAGAUCGGCUAGAUGCAGGCAAGUAGUCAAUACCCACUGGGCAAAAACUGGUUUAAUCAACAUUGUUACCGCCUUAUUUCAUCCCAAAAAAUCAAUGUGAUGACAAUGAAUCAACAUGGAAAACUGAUUGGAUUUGCAAAAAGUCAUCAAAGUAAGGGCAUUUUGUCGAAAGAAAAAUGUACCCAACUUUUUUCAAAUUCAUUUCAUGUUGGUUGACAACUCAAAACUAACUAGACCUUAAACGGAUGUCUGUGCCCAGUGGGGAUUAUCAAUAAACAGUUUGGUUUGUGAGACCACUUUGAAAUAAAUCUUAAUCACCAAAGCUUUAUUAAAAGAUCACGUUUGGCAGCAGCAAAACAGUGAGCGGACCAUCUCCUUUUUUUUUUUUAUCUAUGUAGGCUAUUAUAUUAUUUUAGCCAGCUCCUGCUAUUAUUUUGGAUGUCUGUAAAACCCCUCCAUGUAGUCUAUAUGCCCAUCAUGGACUGAGAGAUGAGAUCAUCCGGUGACAGUAUUUUCCUGUAACUAUUGCUUGUUUUCCAUUUCGUUUGUUAAAAAAUUCAAGCCCUUUGUAGUGUUAAGUUCUUAUUUUUCAGAGUAAAUAACUCACGGACACUAGAGAAGCUUUAACCAAGUUUAAUUCUUCCGAAAGGUUCUGUACAGCUGUAUUCAGACACCCAACAGACACCCAGAUAUUUAUAUCCCACUUAAGACACUCCUUCUUUCUCUCCAAUCCUUACAUUUUAUGGUCCUACAGGAAGAGAGUAAAGAGGGUAACAGGAUACCAAACCUUUAUUACUCCCUUAAGGGAAUCUGCCCUCACCUCCUGACCUCAACCCCUCCUUCCUCUAAUCCAUCUGUCUCCCCUGUAUCAACACGUUGCUCACCCGUCCCCCAACACAUUCCACAGCUAUCUGCCUUUCUACUGAGGCCCAGUCUCUUUCUCCUUUGAUUCUAUGCUUCUUUCCUAUCAUUUAUUUAAUAUCUCAAUGUUCAAAAUGUCGACUCCAACAGUAGGCUGCCCUCACACUACCAUAACCAAAGCUGGUUCAACAGCAAUGCGACUGAUGUCUUUCUUAUCCUGGCCAUGUAUUAGCCAAGUAGUCUAUCCAUAAAAGGUUUCUAAAUGGUCUACUCGCGAGGCUUUUGCCGACAUGCUUUUGCAAUAUUCUCAAUUCACAUAGGCGUAUCUGUAGUGCAUACUCCAUUCAACUUGUAUCCCAUUUCCAAAGAGCACCUCUUGUCCCGUUACCAAAGACGACCUCCUCCAAACAUACGCUAUUCAACAUUUUCAGUCCUAUAAUGCCUUAUCAACAGUAGGCCUAUACUAUGUCUUGCUUAUUGAGAAUGUGCCUCACACAUACAAUACCAUUUAAGGGAACCUAGUGUUUUUUUAUUUGAGGAGAAGUGCGAUGCUUGAAGGCCUAUACUCGUUGAAACCAAUUACAACAUAAUGUUGACUGUCAACACAUAAUGAGCAAACACUGGAUGUUUGUUUUUACUGUUACUGUCACACGUUAAUGUAGCCAAUGCUAUUUAAUAAACUGCAGUAUCAAUCCACAAUAGACUAGGAUCGGACGAUAUUAUUCGUGCCCCCAGCCAAAUGGGAGUUGAUGACAACUCAAAGACCGUCAAUAAUCUACAGAAUUUGAGACAAACACAUGCAGUAUUAAGCCAUGGAACUGCUUGAUUGGCCAGUGACUGGCCACACCUACAACUUUAUUCAUCAAAACCGAACCCUUGAUUGACAGUACUGCACAUAAACAUGACAGUGAGUUAACAUAAACACAACUGUUGGCUAAUACUCCUUGUGGGAAUGUGAGUGAGAUAAGGGGAACUGUUUGGGUUUAUGAACUUUCUUGCAACAGGAUUGACAGUACUGCACGUAAACAUGACAGUGAGUUAACAUAAACACAACUGUUGGCUAAUACUCCUUGUGGGAAUGUGAGUGAGAUAAGGGGAACUGUUUGGGUUUAUGAACUAUUAAAAUGAUCAACAUUAUAUUCAUUGUACAGUAUUUAUUAUUUCACAUCUGUAUCCUUUUGACUAUUUGUUUGUUUCUUUUGUCUUAUAGAAGGGAUUUGGGAAGACUUUCUUGGAACUCUCAAAACAUCCCACAAUGAUGUGGCCUUACCAUCAUGGCUCACACUGUCAUAAACAAGCCAGUAUUUUUUUCUGACUAAGUGACCGGACAAGGAAAAGAUACUCGAACCUGGAGUUCUGAAUGACUUUUGGCCCUACUCAAGUGAAUUACUCUGGGCCCUGAUCAUAAUGUAUCCGUCUACAAUAAAUCUAACAUUGAAAUACUGUCAGUGUCUUGGCUCAAAGAUGUAGUACAAGUGUAUUAUAGAUUUCUUAGUAAAAUAGCUUGAUUAUACAGUUUCUCGUGUGUCAGUCAGUCAAUACAUUGCUUAUGAUUCCCUUGACGUUGGUCUAUUAAAAGAUGGGUGCAGGAAAAAUCUGUUGCGUAUUAUACAACACCAGCCCCUAUUUUGGCAAAGACGCGGGGGGUCACACACCGGGUCAGACACUGUGGACCCACGCACAUAACUCUGUUCUGUAGGAAUCUCUCACCUGGGUGAGAUCAAGUAGCCUGGAUCUCACAUCGCUGCGCUCAC
Long non-coding RNA from Oncorhynchus tshawytscha (Chinook salmon), 8805 nucleotides. The record is from Ensembl. Lineage: Eukaryota; Metazoa; Chordata; Actinopteri; Salmoniformes; Salmonidae.